AAUCAACGCUGGCGGCGUGCCUAACACAUGCAAGUCGAACGCGAAAGUCCCGCAAGGGAUGAGUAGAGUGGCAAACGGGUGAGUAACACGUGGGUGAUCUACCUUCGAGUGGGGGAUAACGUUCCGAAAGGAGCGCUAAUACCGCAUGACGUUCCGGGGUUGAAGACCUGGAAACCAAAGCCGGGACCGCAAGGCCUGGCGCUAGGAGAGGAGCCCGCGCCUGAUUAGCUGGUUGGUGAGGUAAUGGCUCACCAAGGCGACGAUCAGUAGCCGGCCUGAGAGGGCGGACGGCCACACUGGGACUGAGACACGGCCCAGACUCCUACGGGAGGCAGCAGUGGGGAAUUGUUCGCAAUGGGCGCAAGCCUGACGACGCAACGCCGCGUGGAGGAUGAAGGUCUUCGGAUUGUAAACUCCUGUUGACCGGGAAGAAUGGGCUCCGAGCUAAUACAUUGGAGCAAUGACGGUACCGGUUGAGGAAGCCACGGCUAACUCUGUGCCAGCC
RNAcentral lists this ribosomal RNA (505 nucleotides) under uncultured bacterium. RNAcentral describes it as "bacterial SSU rRNA". It matches the Rfam family "Bacterial small subunit ribosomal RNA", at positions 29 to 513 of the family's 1533-position model. The record is from RNAcentral.